This is a long non-coding RNA of Patella vulgata (common limpet), 930 nucleotides long. RefSeq lists it as uncharacterized. The record is from RefSeq and is a predicted model, not a curated record. The transcript is spliced from 4 exons. NCBI's taxonomy places the organism in Eukaryota, Metazoa, Mollusca, Gastropoda, Patellidae.
ACAUUAGCAACCACAGAAAAAUUUGGGUUAUCAGACGUUAGACCGUGUUAUGUGUAAAAUCAAAAUGUCGUAUUUGAUAUCGCUUUCGAUACUUGUAUCUGUAUUCUCAGGUUGUUAUGCUGGAUCUUACUGUUACACCAGUUAUGGAUUCUCUUAUUAUACUUACUGCACUUAUGGCUGUUGUUUCGGUGGUUGUUGUUCCUUCAGUAUCGGGGCAAUUGUUGGAAUAGUAAUUGCGUGUAUAACUGGAUUCGUAAUUCUAGUUGUGGUUUGUAUUGCUUUGAAUAAAAAGAAGACUCGAGGUCGGGUGAUAGUGGCACCUAGUACUACUAACGUACAUCAUGUAUCACCUGGUUAUGGCCAACAACCUAUGAUGACAUAUAAUACAAUGCCAGGACAAUAUCCACAAGCACCUCCACCUUAUACUUACACCAACCCUGCUUAUCCUCCACAAAAAGAUGGACAACAACAACAGCCACCACCACAAAAUUAUGCUGCACCACCCGGAACGGUACCGCAACCACAAGUGGCCCCUGUGGGAUUCGAAGAAAACGGAGGACCAACAGCACCAACAGUACCACCACAACAACCACAACAAACCCAAGGUCCACCUAAUCCAUUUAGUGCUUAUGCCAAUAAUAAAUCUUAAAAUAGAAAAUAGAAGAUUGAGUAUAACAGAAACAAAACAUUUGAUCAUUAAAUGAAUGAAUUUUAACCAUUAGAUUCUUAAGAUUACUGAAAUACUCUAUCUUAUAUAACAGAAACUCCCGGUGUGUUCUCUUCAAUGACAUUUACUCAGUACAUUCAUGUAAGACCUGUGAUCCGACAUCCAUUGUUAUUUGCGAGAAGACGUAUAGAAGCUUUGGUUGAUCAUUUUGUAUUAUACAUGUACAUUGGAUUGUAGAUGCAAUAAAGCAUAAUUUAAAAUUA